GGUACUCUUAUUCCCCAUGGACUUUACAGUGUUUCCUAGUCUCAGUGCAGUGGGCAGCUGGGAGGAGGUACUCUUAUUCCCCAUGGACUUUACAGUGUUUCCUAGUCUCAGUGCAGUGGGCAGCUGGGAGGAGGUACUCUUAUUCCCCAUGGACUUUACAGUGUUUCCUAGUCUCAGUGCAGUGGGCAGCUGGGAGGAGGUACUCUUAUUCCCCAUGGACUUUACAGUGUUUCCUAGUCUCAGUGCAGUGGGCAGCUGGGAGGAGGUACUCUUAUUCCCCAUGGACUUUACAGUGUUUCCUAGUCUCAGUGCAGUGGGCAGCUGGGAGGAGGUACUCUUAUUCCCCAUGGACUUUACAGUGUCCCAAAA
Molecule: long non-coding RNA, 369 nt
Organism: Oncorhynchus keta (chum salmon)
Lineage: Eukaryota; Metazoa; Chordata; Actinopteri; Salmoniformes; Salmonidae
Exons: 3
Source: RefSeq, a predicted model, not a curated record